Sphingobium sp. Leaf26 is the source of this 100-nucleotide non-coding RNA. NCBI's taxonomy places the organism in Bacteria, Pseudomonadati, Pseudomonadota, Alphaproteobacteria, Sphingomonadales, Sphingobiaceae. The record is from Rfam.
GGGCACGAUGCGGGAGAGCAUGGGAAGCCUUUGAGGCCACCCCGUCGCCGAAGGAGCAACCGCCCCGGAAUCUCUCAGGCCAAAGGACCGCAUCGCGCGC